This 98-nucleotide ribosomal RNA is filed under the name Peniophorella guttulifera. RNAcentral describes it as "partial 5.8S ribosomal RNA". It matches the Rfam family "5.8S ribosomal RNA", at positions 58 to 154 of the family's 154-position model. From Rfam's summary of the family: 5.8S ribosomal RNA (5.8S rRNA) is a component of the large subunit of the eukaryotic ribosome. The record is from RNAcentral. Lineage: Eukaryota; Fungi; Basidiomycota; Agaricomycetes; Hymenochaetales.
AUAAGUAAUGUGAAUUGCAGAAUUCAGUGAAUCAUCGAAUCUUUGAACGCACCUUGCGCUCCUUGGUAUUCCGAGGAGCAUGCCUGUUUGAGUGUCGU